CACUCUAGAGAGACUGCCAGGGAUAACCUGGAGGAAGGUGGGGAUGACGUCAAAUCAUCAUGCCCCUUAUGCUUAGGGCUACACACGUGCUACAAUGGGUAGUACAGAGGGUUGCCAAGCCGUAAGGUGGAGCUAAUCCCUUAAAGCUACUCUCAGUUCGGAUUGUAGGCUGAAACUCGCCUACAUGAAGCUGGAGUUACUAGUAAUCGCAGAUCAGAAUGCUGCGGUGAAUGCGUUCCCGGGUCUUGUACACACCGCCCGUCACACCACGGGAGUUGGAGACGCCCGAAGCCGAUUAUCUAACCUUUUGGAAGAAGUCGUCGAAGGUGGAAUCAAUAACUGGGGUGAAGUCGUAACAAGGUAGCCGUAUCGGAAGGUGCGGCUGGAUCACCUCCUUU
RNAcentral lists this ribosomal RNA (398 nucleotides) under Clostridioides difficile. Its description in RNAcentral is "bacterial SSU rRNA". It matches the Rfam family "Bacterial small subunit ribosomal RNA", at positions 1136 to 1533 of the family's 1533-position model. Lineage: Bacteria; Bacillati; Bacillota; Clostridia; Peptostreptococcales; Peptostreptococcaceae. The record is from RNAcentral.